UACAGAUACAAUAAUAAGUUUGUUUGUAUUUUAUU
Molecule: unclassified non-coding RNA, 35 nt
Filed under: Dictyocoela berillonum
Lineage: Eukaryota; Fungi; Microsporidia
Description: 16S-23S ribosomal RNA intergenic spacer
Source: RNAcentral